Molecule: signal recognition particle RNA, 318 nt
Filed under: Candidatus Bathyarchaeota archaeon
Lineage: Archaea; Thermoproteati; Candidatus Bathyarchaeota
Description: signal recognition particle sRNA
Rfam family: Archaeal signal recognition particle RNA
Source: RNAcentral
CGGUGGUGGGGGACUGGGAAGCUGGUCGUUUCCUGUAACCCGAAAUCGACCUUUGCGGGGGUCCGCAACGCUGGUGAGCGGCAGCCUCGACCUUGUUGAGGACCUGGCUGUCAACUAUGACAUCCUGCCCCAUCGGGCCGGCGGAGGGAGAACGUCCUCUGAAGGGAGGAUUGUUACUUCCUAGUGGUCGAAACCGGCGAGGCCCGGAAGGGAGCAGUCGUAAGGCUAACGUUCGACGCUGUUGGGAUCACAGGGUGGAGACGAUGACUAAGACACCCUGCUUGGAAGAGAUGCCCAUCACCACGGAAGCCGCCACCG